Mustela lutreola (European mink) is the source of this 1948-nucleotide long non-coding RNA. RefSeq lists it as uncharacterized. The transcript has 5 exons. The record is from RefSeq and is a predicted model, not a curated record. NCBI's taxonomy places the organism in Eukaryota, Metazoa, Chordata, Mammalia, Carnivora, Mustelidae.
CAAUCCGGGAAAGGAGGGGCGGUGGGGGACGGGGGACCGGCGGGGUCCGGCGCUCGCGGCCCUGGAGGACCUGGGGACUGCCUGGCUCCUCAGGAAGGAUUAGUAAAACUCCUAUCGGGUGGUUGGAAAUAAGCAAAAAACGAAAAGGAAGAAUAGUUCAGGUAAUUUUGCAGUGUCAUUAAGUCAGUUGAUAGCCAAGAAGCUUGACAGGUCCCAGAAGUCUAAGCAGAACAACUGGGAGUUCAAGUCUUUAAAAUAAAUGUCCAAGUAUAAAAUUCGGUCAUUGGUCAUAAGCUGGGACAGAGUCCACAAAGAGGAAAAAUGGCACAGCAAGGAACACCAGCUGCAGGCCACUCCACCCUCAGCCCAGCCCUUGGAGCCCUGGCCUGGGCAGAACCCAGGAUCUACCUACACAACCGAGAGGAAACGUCACGCUGAGGGAAUUGUCGCACCUGUCCGUAGUCUCAGGCUUCUCGCAGGUGACUUGGGAGAAAAGAUUCUUACUAUGAAGAUUCAAGAUGUCUAGCAGUAAGAACUGUGUUGGGCACAGGGUAGGUUUAAGGAGAUUACUAGGUAAAGAAACACUGAAGUAGAAUUUCGAGUAAUGCGAGGAAACAGCAGCGGAUAGGUGGCUUGGUGUGGGUGAGGGAAGCCACUUGGAGCGAGUGAAGAUUUCUGGAAGCAAACAGCAAGCAGAAACUUUUAGAUGUCAACAGUUCUGAAAGAAAAAAACACUACACAAUAAAACAUGGCUGUGUGUUAACUGGAUGGUCUUCUACACCCAUCCUUGGGGACCUGACACUUUUGACCACAGCCAGAGACCUGGACACUCUCCAUCUUUAAGUAAGAAAGAAAAGACCAUAUUUACCCAGGAUUCCUCCUCUGUCUUGCUCUCCCUUCCAAUUCAGAACAUCCCCAAUCCUCUGUGGCAGGUCUGAGCUUUCUUGUGAACCCCUCAGUUGUGCCUUGACCUUCAAUGGGCUAUACGAACUUUUGCUUUACUUUCUCUAGAACCGACUUCCUAUAUUUUGUGUCCUCCUCAUGGUCCCAUCAUUUAAGAACUGAUGUCACUGUUUCCCUGGGGAAAUUCCUACCCACUCGGAGCUUCCUUGGUUUCACGACUCUUUUAUCAACAUCUUUUCAUUUCACUAACUAUUUCACCAAAAAGAGCUUCUAAGUAUAACAUGGAUGACUGUAUUUAACUUUUGCAGGCACUUUAGCUUGUUUAUUUCCAGAAACACUGCUCGGAGGGCUGGGGAUCUUUACACCACGUUAAGAUAUUUGACUUGGAUCUGUUUUUCAUGGGAAGCUGGUACUUUACUGAUUCCAGACUUUCAGAAUUCACAGUUGGGAGCAAACCAGCGAAGGCGGGUGGAGACGGCACCGCAAAGAGCUGCAGGGCCAUCUAGUGGCCAGAUGUCCACACUGCAGUGCGAGUGACGCUGUUCCUGCCAAUCCUGCCCCCAAAUGGAGAACUCACACCUAAGAGUUUUUGGCGUUAAGGAUCAACCCUUGUUACUUUGUGGCAUUUUUGAAAUUCGUUUUAUAAAUGUUCCUACAGCCUUUGACUUCAAAGGAUUGCCUUGCCUUAAAUGCGAAGACUGAGCUUCCAGCCAUUGAAUGGUGAUUCUGAGCGGUGUUUCCUGGUUCAGACAGGCCUGGGUUAGAAUUUGCUGUCUGGGUGACUUUAGGCAAGUUAUUUAAACUCUCUGACCUUCAGUUUCCUCUUGUACAAUGGAUAUAGUAAUAGUGGGCAGGCUUGUUCUGAAGAUAAAGGGAAGCAUGCAUGUCAUGUAUUUUUGGCUGUUCCUAACAUGUAAAUAUUGCUAUUGGUUUAUUCAACACUUAUGGAAAGACGGUGUAGCCCACGAAAAGGGACAGAAAUUCACCCACCCAAAUAGGCCAAGGUAAAAGACUUCAUACGAGAUUCCUGAGCAGUAUCCCAAAA